CCACUGUGAAGAACCAAGGCAACUAAAGAAAAAAACACAAUCCGAGCACAGUGAUUGAAGAACUUUGGACAUUAGCAAGGUCCAGCCAUAUUUGCUCAUGUUGAAAGGAUGAAAUCCAAUUUGAAGCUCUGCAGCUUCUGUCCAGAAUGGCU
RNAcentral lists this long non-coding RNA (152 nucleotides) under Mus spicilegus (steppe mouse). RNAcentral describes it as "lncRNA (ENSMSIG00000017560.1)". Lineage: Eukaryota; Metazoa; Chordata; Mammalia; Rodentia; Muridae. The record is from RNAcentral.